This 336-nucleotide unclassified non-coding RNA is filed under the name soil metagenome. RNAcentral describes it as "partial contains 5.8S ribosomal RNA, internal transcribed spacer 2, and large subunit ribosomal RNA". The stretch from base 1 to 120 matches the Rfam family "5.8S ribosomal RNA", at positions 35 to 154 of the family's 154-position model. The record is from RNAcentral.
GAUGAAGAACGUAGCGAAAUGCGAUAAGUAGUGUGAAUUGCAGACUUUAGUGAAUCAUCGAAUCUUUGAACGCACAUUGCGCCCGCCAGUAUUCUGGCGGGCAUGCCUGUUCGAGCGUCAUUUCAACCAUCAAGCCCCAGGCUUGUGUUGGGGACCUGCGGCUGCCGCAGGCCCUGAAAACCAGUGGCGGGCUCGCUGUCACACCGGGCGUAGUAGAUUUUAUCUCGCUCAGGGCGUGCUGCGGGUUCCGGCCGUUAAAAAGCCUUUUUUACCCAAGGUUGACCUCGGAUCAGGUAGGAAGACCCGCUGAACUUAAGCAUAUCAAUAAGCGGAGGA